Molecule: ribosomal RNA, 432 nt
Filed under: uncultured Paraglomus
Lineage: Eukaryota; Fungi; Glomeromycota; Glomeromycetes; Paraglomerales; Paraglomeraceae
Description: eukaryotic LSU rRNA
Rfam family: Eukaryotic large subunit ribosomal RNA
Source: RNAcentral
GGCCUCAAAUCAGACAAGAGUACCCGCUGAACUUAAGCAUAUCAAUAAGCGGAGGAAAAGAAACUAACAAGGAUUCCCCUAGUAACGGAGAGUGAAGCGGGAACAGCUCAAAUUUUAAAUCUGGCUGCUUUGUAGUCCGAGUUGUAAUUUGAAGGAGUCUUGCUGCUGGCAAAAACGAUGGCACAAGUCCUCUGGAACGGGGCAUCGUAGAGGGUGAGAAUCCCGUCUCUGGUCAUCACGCGCUGGCAUACGGCAGGCAUCCGAAGAGUCGAGUUGUUUGGGAUUGCAGCUCCAAAUGGGUGGUAAACUCCAUCUAAGGCUAAAUAUUGGCGAGAGACCGAUAGCGAACAAGUACCGUGAGGGAAAGAUGAAAAGAACUUUGAAAAGAGAGUAAAACAGUACGUGAAAUUGUUGAAAGGGAAACGAUUGAAG